Molecule: ribosomal RNA, 297 nt
Filed under: uncultured eukaryote
Lineage: Eukaryota
Description: partial 18S ribosomal RNA
Rfam family: Eukaryotic small subunit ribosomal RNA
Source: RNAcentral
CCCCUAGACGCUCUAGGCGGCACGCGCGCUACAAUGGGUGGUAGAACGUGUAACUGCUCCCGAAAGGGAGGGUGAACCACGAAUACUUACCCGUGAAUGGGAUAGUUUGUUGCAAUUUUCGGACUUGAACUAGGAAUCCCUUGUAAGAAUGCUCAAGAAUAGCGUGCUGAAUACGUCCCUGCCGUUUGUACACACCGCCCGUCGUUUCUUCCGACUGAUACUCAUUGUGAGUUGCAAGGAUUCUUAUUGAAAAAUUGCUGCGAAUGCUUUGUAUUGGAGGAAGAAAAAGUCGUAACA